RNAcentral lists this ribosomal RNA (598 nucleotides) under Lodderomyces parapsilosis. RNAcentral's name for it is "Candida parapsilosis partial large subunit ribosomal RNA". It matches the Rfam family "Eukaryotic large subunit ribosomal RNA", at positions 42 to 656 of the family's 3401-position model. Lineage: Eukaryota; Fungi; Ascomycota; Pichiomycetes; Serinales; Debaryomycetaceae. The record is from RNAcentral.
AUCAAAAAGCGGAGGAAAAGAAACCAACAGGGAUUGCCUUAGUAGCGGCGAGUGAAGCGGCAAAAGCUCAAAUUUGAAAUCUGGCACUUUCAGUGUCCGAGUUGUAAUUUGAAGAAGGUAUCUUUGGGUCUGGCUCUUGUCUAUGUUUCUUGGAACAGAACGUCACAGAGGGUGAGAAUCCCGUGCGAUGAGAUGUCCCAGACCUAUGUAAAGUUCCUUCGAAGAGUCGAGUUGUUUGGGAAUGCAGCUCUAAGUGGGUGGUAAAUUCCAUCUAAAGCUAAAUAUUGGCGAGAGACCGAUAGCGAACAAGUACAGUGAUGGAAAGAUGAAAAGAACUUUGAAAAGAGAGUGAAAAAGUACGUGAAAUUGUUGAAAGGGAAGGGCUUGAGAUCAGACUUGGUAUUUUGUAUGUUACUCUCUCGGGGGUGGCCUCUACAGUUUACCGGGCCAGCAUCAGUUUGAGCGGUAGGAUAAGUGCAAAGAAAUGUGGCACUGCUUCGGUAGUGUGUUAUAGUCUUUGUCGAUACUGCCAGCUUAGACUGAUGACUGCCGCUUCCGCCUACGAUGUUGGCAUAAUGAUCUUAAGUCACCCGUCCUG